GUUAAAGUUUGAUAUUUUAAAACUUAAUAACAAGAAGCUUAUUAAGUAAAAAAAAAAAUAUGAAAAUAUACCAUCGAUAUAGGCUACUUUCUGCACAUGUUCAUGUUUAACAAUAAAAGGAAUUAAGGAGGAUCUAGAUGGAGGAUUUUCAUCUCUGUAUCUUUUAAUUCUUUAUAAUAUUUUUGUCUAUUAUUCAUAUUCUUUGUAUAUUAUUCUCUAUUCCAUAUAUUUCAGCACCUCGUUAUUCUUUUUUCUUUUUUUAUUUCAGUUCAUUCUUCUCUAUUCGUUAAAUCUUUUGUCCAUUAUUUUUUUAUAGAUUAUAUCGUAG
This 328-nucleotide long non-coding RNA is filed under the name Mytilus galloprovincialis (Mediterranean mussel). Lineage: Eukaryota; Metazoa; Mollusca; Bivalvia; Mytilida; Mytilidae. The record is from RNAcentral.